UCCGGACUGCACAGGACAGCGUAGCAGCUAACGGCUGCCCACCGUGAGGUGAGGAUCAGAGCAACAGAGACGAGUCGGAGCACCGUCCCGCUACCAGGGGUGUUCUAUGGGCCGCCAGCGCGAGCUGGCGCCGACUGGCGCAAGCCAGGCGGUUCCCGGCGCAAGCCGGGAAAGCACAUAGCCACCCGGGGCGCGGGACGCGCUCCGGGUGAAACGGGCAAUCUCUACGCGCAGCAAUACCAAGUAGGCCAGCGUUGAUGUGGUUCCGCAGAGCUGGCGGGUAGGUAGCACCGAGCCGGGUGGGCGACCCCCGGCCCAGAGUAAUGGCGGUCACGCUGCGGGCAACCGCAGUGCACAGAAUCCGGCUUAUCGGCGCGCUUCACAC
RNAcentral lists this RNase P RNA (385 nucleotides) under Acidovorax sp. SCN 68-22. RNAcentral's name for it is "partial RNase P RNA component class A". It matches the Rfam family "Bacterial RNase P class A", at positions 51 to 367 of the family's 367-position model. From Rfam's summary of the family: Ribonuclease P (RNase P) is a ubiquitous endoribonuclease, found in archaea, bacteria and eukarya as well as chloroplasts and mitochondria. Its best characterised activity is the generation of mature 5'-ends of tRNAs by cleaving the 5'-leader elements of precursor-tRNAs. Cellular RNase Ps are ribonucleoproteins. The record is from RNAcentral. Lineage: Bacteria; Pseudomonadati; Pseudomonadota; Betaproteobacteria; Burkholderiales; Comamonadaceae.